Molecule: long non-coding RNA, 443 nt
Filed under: Lotus japonicus
Lineage: Eukaryota; Viridiplantae; Streptophyta; Magnoliopsida; Fabales; Fabaceae
Description: long non-coding RNA (LJAP_LNC002127)
Source: RNAcentral
GAAUCGCAUCUAUCUUCCCCCCUCGGUUCCUGUUUCGAAUCUGUGUAACUGAGAUGUUUAUGGGUGGCAUAGAAUUGAUGGAUUCGACUCUGUGUAAAUCGCCCCUCCCGGCUUCAUUCCUCUCAACGCCACGACGGCGACACCGCAGGUAUUCAGGCCUUAAUUGAUGUAUGUUUCAGUGCCUGUAUUUUGAUUUUGAUAAAUUUGUGGUUUGCAGGCCGAUUCUCUACAUCAGAUACAAUACCUGAUGUUUCGUACAAACCCUAAAUCAGAUUCAGGCACAUGCUCUACAUUAUAUCCUCCAUCAAGGUAAGAGCUUUGAUGUUUAUAUCAAAUCCUGAUUCUCUUAGUUAGUAAAUUCCUCACAACCUCAGACUUUGUUUCAUAUCUGUUUUGUUAUUUCAGGGAGAUUUUGUUCCUUUUUUUUUUCCUUGGCUUUGCAG